Molecule: long non-coding RNA, 264 nt
Organism: Solea senegalensis (Senegalese sole)
Lineage: Eukaryota; Metazoa; Chordata; Actinopteri; Pleuronectiformes; Soleidae
Exons: 3
Source: RefSeq, a predicted model, not a curated record
CGCCCGGAAUGAUUUGAGUGUAACACAGGAAGUCCGUGUGAAACACACAGCGUCGUUUUCGCUGUUAAAUCAACUGUUAACGGAGAAAUAUCAAAGAGUCACCUGACCUGGGAGUGAAUGCCCACUGGCUGAGGACGUCCAGAGGACGCAGCUUUCUUUAGGAUUCCUCCCAUCUUCUGCCUCCUUCCCUCUGGAAGGCGCUACAGGAGCCUCAGGACCAGGAUCAGAACCAGUUAUGUGUCACGUGGCCUGUGAUGGACUGGU